GGGUUGUGAGGUUAAGCGACUAAGCGUACACGGUGGAUGCCCUGGCAGUCAGAGGCGAUGAAGGACGUGCUAAUCUGCGAUAAGCGUCGGUGAGGUGAUAUGAACCGUUAUAACCGGCGAUUUCCGAAUGGGGAAACCCAGUGUGUUUCGACACACUAUCAUUAACUGAAUCCAUAGGUUAAUGAGGCGAACCGGGGGAACUGAAACAUCUAAGUACCCCGAGGAAAAGAAAUCAACCGAGAUUCCCCCAGUAGCGGCGAGCGAACGGGGAGGAGCCCAGAGCCUGAAUCAGUGUGUGUGUUAGUGGAAGCGUCUGGAAAGGCGCGCGAUACAGGGUGACAGCCCCGUACACAAAAAUGCACAUACUGUGAGCUCGAUGAGUAGGGCGGGACACGUGGUAUCCUGUCUGAAUAUGGGGGGACCAUCCUCCAAGGCUAAAUACUCCUGACUGACCGAUAGUGAACCAGUACCGUGAGGGAAAGGCGAAAAGAACCCCGGCGAGGGGAGUGAAAAAGAACCUGAAACCGUGUACGUACAAGCAGUGGGAGCCUCUUAAUGGGGUGACUGCGUACCUUUUGUAUAAUGGGUCAGCGACUUAUAUUCUGUAGCAAGGUUAACCGAAUAGGGGAGCCGAAGGGAAACCGAGUCUUAACUGGGCGUUAAGUUGCAGGGUAUAGACCCGAAACCCGGUGAUCUAGCCAUGGGCAGGUUGAAGGUUGGGUAACACUAACUGGAGGACCGAACCGACUAAUGUUGAAAAAUUAGCGGAUGACUUGUGGCUGGGGGUGAAAGGCCAAUCAAACCGGGAGAUAGCUGGUUCUCCCCGAAAGCUAUUUAGGUAGCGCCUCGUGAAUUCAUCUCCGGGGGUAGAGCACUGUUUCGGCAAGGGGGUCAUCCCGACUUACCAACCCGAUGCAAACUGCGAAUACCGGAGAAUGUUAUCACGGGAGACACACGGCGGGUGCUAACGUCCGUCGUGAAGAGGGAAACAACCCAGACCGCCAGCUAAGGUCCCAAAGUCAUGGUUAAGUGGGAAACGAUGUGGGAAGGCCCAGACAGCCAGGAUGUUGGCUUAGAAGCAGCCAUCAUUUAAAGAAAGCGUAAUAGCUCACUGGUCGAGUCGGCCUGCGCGGAAGAUGUAACGGGGCUAAACCAUGCACCGAAGCUGCGGCAGCGACACUAUGUGUUGUUGGGUAGGGGAGCG
RNAcentral lists this ribosomal RNA (1204 nucleotides) under Escherichia coli. RNAcentral describes it as "partial 23S ribosomal RNA". It matches the Rfam family "Bacterial large subunit ribosomal RNA", at positions 1 to 1238 of the family's 2925-position model. Lineage: Bacteria; Pseudomonadati; Pseudomonadota; Gammaproteobacteria; Enterobacterales; Enterobacteriaceae. The record is from RNAcentral. RNAcentral also lists the same sequence under 1 other name.